GGUUCGUUGGUGUAGUUGGUUAUCACGUCUGUCUCACAUGCCUGCGAGGGCGGUGGUCACAGGAGGUCCCCGGGUCGAACCA
Trametes gibbosa is the source of this 82-nucleotide non-coding RNA. The record is from the annotation of a GenBank genome assembly. NCBI's taxonomy places the organism in Eukaryota, Fungi, Basidiomycota, Agaricomycetes, Polyporales, Polyporaceae.